GGUCAAGCAAGAAAGAGCACAGGGUGAAUGCCUUGGCACUGGGAGCCGAAGAAGGACGUGAUAAGCUGCGAAAAGCUUCGGGGAGGCGCACAUAGCCAUUGAUCCGGAGA
Molecule: ribosomal RNA, 110 nt
Filed under: Candidatus Coprocola pullicola
Lineage: Bacteria; Bacillati; Bacillota; Clostridia; Eubacteriales; Clostridiaceae
Description: partial 23S ribosomal RNA
Rfam family: Bacterial large subunit ribosomal RNA
Source: RNAcentral